Molecule: ribosomal RNA, 517 nt
Filed under: uncultured bacterium
Lineage: Bacteria
Description: bacterial SSU rRNA
Rfam family: Bacterial small subunit ribosomal RNA
Source: RNAcentral
UGGUGAAUUUUCCGCAAUGGGCGAAAGCCUGACGGAGCAACGCCGCGUGAGGGAUGAAGGCCUCUGGGCUGUAAACCUCUUUUAUCAAGGAAGAAGAUGACGGUACUUGAUGAAUAAGCCACGGCUAAUUCCGUGCCAGCAGCCGCGGUAAUACGGGAGUGGCAAGCGUUAUCCGGAAUUAUUGGGCGUAAAGCGUCCGCAGGCGGCCCUUCAAGUCUGCUGUUAAAAAGUGGAGCUUAACUCCAUCAUGGCAGUGGAAACUGAGGGGCUUGAGUGUGGUAGGGGCAGAGGGAAUUCCCGGUGUAGCGGUGAAAUGCGUAGAUAUCGGGAAGAACACCAGUGGCGAAGGCGCUCUGCUGGGCCAUCACUGACGCUCAUGGACGAAAGCCAGGGGAGCGAAAGGGAUUAGAUACCCCUGUAGUCCUGGCCGUAAACGAUGAACACUAGGUGUCGGGGGAAUCUACCCCCUCGGUGUCGUAGCCAACGCGUUAAGCGUUCCGCCAGGGGAGUACGCAUU